AAUGCUCGGAGAUUAGGAGGGUGAGAAGCCUCGUCCAGGGUUCGACUAAAACGUCGGGAACGUUUUAGAACGCCUUUAGGCGGCCCGAAGGGUGGAGGGCAGGAGCCCGACAUAAUCCCUCUCUCUCCGCCA
Molecule: small RNA, 132 nt
Filed under: Psychrosphaera ytuae
Lineage: Bacteria; Pseudomonadati; Pseudomonadota; Gammaproteobacteria; Alteromonadales; Pseudoalteromonadaceae
Description: Psychrosphaera sp. MTZ26 RtT sRNA
Rfam family: RtT RNA
About the family: This family represents a bacterial cis-regulatory element known as RtT RNA. The exact function of RtT is unknown although it is thought that it may be involved in changing the cellular response in relation to amino acid starvation.
Source: RNAcentral